GACGAACGCUGGCGGCGUGCUUAACACAUGCAAGUCGAACGGAAAGGCCUGCUUUCCCUUGUGGAUUGCGGGUACUCGAGUGGCGAACGGGUGAGUAACACGUGAGUGAUCUGCCCCCAACUUGGGUAUAAGCCUGGGAAACUGGGUCUAAUUCCCGAUAGGACUGCAGGGUGGUGCCUGUGGUGGAAAACGAUUUUCUAGUGGUUGGGGAUGAGCUCGCGGCCUAUCAGCUUGUUGGUGGGGUAAUGGCCUACCAAGGCGGCGACGGGUAGCCGGCCUGGGAGGGUGGACGGCCACAGUGGGACUGAGAUACGGCCCAGGAUCCUACGGGAGGCAGCAGUGGGGAAUAUUGCACAAUGGGCGGAAGCCUGAGGCAGCGACGCCGCGUGGGGGAUGACGGCCUUCGGGUUGUAAACUCCUUUCGACCGCGAGGAAGCCACCUGGUUGGAAGGGUGGUGACGGUAGUGGUAGAAGAAGCACCGGCUAACUACGUG
RNAcentral lists this ribosomal RNA (494 nucleotides) under uncultured bacterium. RNAcentral's name for it is "partial 16S ribosomal RNA". It matches the Rfam family "Bacterial small subunit ribosomal RNA", at positions 28 to 507 of the family's 1533-position model. The record is from RNAcentral.